GCUCUGCUUCAGGAAAGCCGAAGAGGACGUACACUUCCGCUGCAUGCACGCCUGCGUGCUUACAUCACGCUGAGCGCUUUGACCGCGAAGCAGACAGACAAACAAACAAAAUGGCAGAGGAGAGGAAUUCAUUUAUCCGGUGGAGAUACGCACACUAUUUUAACUAUGUCACCCAAAAAGACAAAAACGUGGUCGUGGAGUGUAAGCUUUGCGUGGGCAGCAAACGUUUGUCAACGGCAGCCAGCUCAUCCUCCAACCUUUUGAAACAUUUGCAGCGUCAACACUCAACUGUUAAGCUUGUCGCUGAAGAGCAACACAGCGAGGCUGCCGCCUCCGACACACCGACACGAUACAAGCAACCUCGUCUUGAAUUACGCUGUCAGGUUUCCCAGAGACUAUGGGUUGAGGAGGAAGUAGAAGUUUGUCAGCUUAGACCUAGUGUCAUUCCAUCAGUGUUAAACUUCCCGGCUAAUCUUGGAAGAGUACGUGCCAGAAAGACCACGACCAAGCAGCCUUGAGAUCUUAGGCAGCGUCUCCCUGAGGUCCCUCUCUAUCUCCCCACACAUCCACCAACCACUGGAACACAUCUCCAAAGUUCUGCCGGGCCAGCUCAGCUUCCCCUCAAAGAAGUGCCGCCACCUGCCAGAUGAAGGAGCCUUUUGAGAGGCAGCUGGCAUCGUGAUUGGACUGUACUUUGGUCUGUUCCAAUCCAGCUUCAGCUCCAGAGACGGCAGGCGGGACGAGUCAACGGAGGCCGGGUGGACGAAGGCAUGCAGCUGAGUACAAUCCAGAAAACAACAGAGGAGGAGUGCAGCGGCCCAGGACCAGAACAAACAGAGUAGCAUCAUAUGUCUCUUAGAAAACAUCAUAGUAUAGAAAAAACGCCAUCAUAUACAUCGUAUAUUGUACAAAUAACAAGUCAAAGGAAAGAGACAUACAUUGUAGAAUUGUAGUAAUUGUGGGCUGACUGAUUUACUGAUUAUCAGUAUUUUAUUUUUUAUUGAUUUACGGUAAUAAAUACAUUUAAAAAUGGCGCUACUUUGGCUCUGAACCUUUAUCUACCUGUGGUCGCUCUGUCUUCUGGAGUGAUUUGAUUGGUUAUACGUAACGAAUAAAACUCCUUUAACUUAACAUCUGUAAACAAAACAAAAAUGUAUCAACAAAGUUUUCUGUUAGAGUUUGUGUUCUUCUAAGUUUAACUCCAAGAUUUUAAAUACUUUCAUUUACUGCAAAUGAAUAUCUACUCCAA
Molecule: long non-coding RNA, 1249 nt
Organism: Amphiprion ocellaris (clown anemonefish)
Lineage: Eukaryota; Metazoa; Chordata; Actinopteri; Pomacentridae
Source: Ensembl